This is a long non-coding RNA of Micropterus salmoides (largemouth bass), 471 nucleotides long. RefSeq lists it as uncharacterized. The transcript is spliced from 5 exons. NCBI's taxonomy places the organism in Eukaryota, Metazoa, Chordata, Actinopteri, Centrarchiformes, Centrarchidae. The record is from RefSeq and is a predicted model, not a curated record.
CAACACUAUUCCAGCUGUUCCAGCCAUGAUUUGUGUGUCAGGAAACAAAUUACUUGCCCCUGGACAUUCGGCUUGCUUUCUAGUUUGCCAAGACAUAAUGCUGUUGUGAUGUUGGCUACAGUAGCAGGAGAGUUCUGAGUAGGCUUUCACUGGUUGGAGAUGGUGUACCAGCUGUGGACAGUCGUGUCCUCUCUGCAUGUUGGUUUUGCAGCAGCAACUGUAGCCACGGCUUGCUAACCCCCAAGGCCAGUCUCUUCCAGAGCACCUGCCCUUUGCAAAGUACAACAACAAACGGACCCAAUUGUGUAAAGAAUCUCCUCCCCAGAGUGUCUGCUAAGCUGGAUGUGGCUACUAUUUCAGACAUCACAGAGGACAAGCUGCCGUUUGAACUGGCUGGUGAACUGAAAGCUGCAGGUGAAGGGGAACAGAUGUUGACAGGAGCCCACUCUCUCCAAACAAGGCCCAAUGCAC